CCUACGGGGGGCAGCAGUGAGGAAUAUUGGUCAAUGGACGAGAGUCUGAACCAGCCAAGUAGCGUGAAGGAUGACUGCCCUAUGGGUUGUAAACUUCUUUUAUAUGGGAAUAAAAUGUUCCACGUGUGGGAUUUUGUAUGUACCAUAUGAAUAAGGAUCGGCUAACUCCGUGCCAGCAGCCGCGGUAAUACGGAGGAUCCGAGCGUUAUCCGGAUUUAUUGGGUUUAAAGGGAGCGUAGGUGGAUUGUUAAGUCAGUUGUGAAAGUUUGCGGCUCAACCGUAAAAUUGCAGUUGAAACUGGCAGUCUUGAGUACAGUAGAGGUGGGCGGAAUUCGGGGUGUAGCGGUGAAAUGCUUAGAUAUCACGAAGAACUCCGAUUGCGAAGGCAGUUCACUGGACUGCAACUGACACUGAGGCUCGAAAGUGUGGGUAUCAAACAGGAUUAGAUACCCCUGUAGUC
This 460-nucleotide ribosomal RNA is filed under the name uncultured bacterium. Its description in RNAcentral is "partial 16S ribosomal RNA". It matches the Rfam family "Bacterial small subunit ribosomal RNA", at positions 338 to 795 of the family's 1533-position model. The record is from RNAcentral.